This 93-nucleotide ribosomal RNA is filed under the name Clostridium botulinum. Lineage: Bacteria; Bacillati; Bacillota; Clostridia; Eubacteriales; Clostridiaceae. The record is from RNAcentral.
ACACCCGUUCCCAUACCGAACACGAUGGUUAAGCUUCAAAGCGCCGAUGGUACUGCACUGGAGACGGUGUGGAAGAGUAGGUCGUCGCCGGGU